Molecule: ribosomal RNA, 516 nt
Filed under: uncultured bacterium
Lineage: Bacteria
Description: partial 16S ribosomal RNA
Rfam family: Bacterial small subunit ribosomal RNA
Source: RNAcentral
GAUGAACGCUGGCGGCGUGCCUAAUACAUGCAAGUCGAGCGAAUGGAUUAAGAGCUUGCUCUUAUGAAGUUAGCGGCGGACGGGUGAGUAACACGUGGGUAACCUGCCCAUAAGACUGGGAUAACUCCGGGUAACCGGGGCUAAUACCGGAUAACAUUUUUGAACCGCAUGGUUCGAAAUUGAAAGGCGGCUUCGGCUGUCACUUAUGGAUGGACCCGCGUCGCAUUAGCUAGUUGGUGAGGUAACGGCUCACCAAGGCAACGAUGCGUAGCCGACCUGAGAGGGUGAUCGGCCACACUGGGACUGAGACACGGCCCAGACUCCUACGGGAGGCAGCAGUAGGGAAUCUUCCGCAAUGGACGGAAGUCUGACGGAGCAACGCCGCGUGAGUGAUGAAGGCUUUCGGGUCGUAAAACUCUGUUGUUAGGGAAGAACAAGUGCUAGUUGAAUAAGCUGGCACCUUGACGGUACCUAACCAGAAAGCCACGGCUAACUACGUGCCAGCCGCCGCCGUAA